This 253-nucleotide ribosomal RNA is filed under the name uncultured bacterium. Its description in RNAcentral is "partial 16S ribosomal RNA". It matches the Rfam family "Bacterial small subunit ribosomal RNA", at positions 524 to 776 of the family's 1533-position model. The record is from RNAcentral.
GACAGAGGUCCCGAGCGUUGUUCGGAUUCAUUGGGCGUAAAGGGUGCGUAGGCGGCGCGGUAAGUCGGGUGUGAAAUCUCGGAGCUUAACUCCGAAACUGCAUUCGAUACUGCCGUGCUUGAGGACUGGAGAGGAGACUGGAAUUUACGGUGUAGCGGUGAAAUGCGUAGAUAUCGUAAGGAAGACCAGUGGCGAAGGCGGGUCUCUGGACAGUUCCUGACGCUGAGGCACGAAGGCCAGGGGAGCAAACGGG